CGUGUAGGCGGUUUGGCAAGUCUUUUGUGAAAUCUCUCGGCUUAACUGGGAGCGGUCAAAAGAUACUACCAGACUAGAGGGUAGCAGAGGAAGAUGGAAUUCCCGGUGGAGCGGUGAAAUGUGUAGAUAUCGGGAGGAACGCCAGUGGCGAAAGCGAUCUUCUGGGCUAUUCCUGACGCUGAGGCGCGAAAGCGUGGGGAGCAAACA
Molecule: ribosomal RNA, 207 nt
Filed under: uncultured bacterium
Lineage: Bacteria
Description: partial 16S ribosomal RNA
Rfam family: Bacterial small subunit ribosomal RNA
Source: RNAcentral